CAAGGAACAGUACUACCAUGGAGCAAAUUGCUUUUUUGCUGACAGCGCCUACCUCCCACAUACCACACCUUUGUUUGCACUUCGUGGCAGCACCUAAACUGCAGCACACAUAUCCUGAUGUAAGCCUGGCAUACCAGAUGGGACACGUUGGCUCUCUCUUAAGAGUUGAAGGCAGAUUUUGUCAUAUUUUUCUACACGUUUUCAUGUGCCAACAACAGGAGCGUGUGAUCCCUAAUUCCCGAGGUACAGCGUUACUCCUCCUCCCACGCCAAGCCUUUUCUGAACAGGUUUAGCCAGCUGUGCAGCUGUAACAGUCAUUUUUCUCUGCUAUCUACAGGCUCUGCAUCUGAUGUUCUGGUUUCCACCAGCUGCUCUUCAGGAAAGGACUACUCAACAUCUGAAAACUGCUGUUCUUUCG
This 418-nucleotide long non-coding RNA is filed under the name Gallus gallus (chicken). The record is from RNAcentral. Lineage: Eukaryota; Metazoa; Chordata; Aves; Galliformes; Phasianidae.